This 437-nucleotide ribosomal RNA is filed under the name uncultured Oscillospiraceae bacterium. RNAcentral describes it as "partial 16S ribosomal RNA". It matches the Rfam family "Bacterial small subunit ribosomal RNA", at positions 341 to 792 of the family's 1533-position model. The record is from RNAcentral. Lineage: Bacteria; Bacillati; Bacillota; Clostridia; Eubacteriales; Oscillospiraceae.
ACGGAAGGCAGCAGUGGGGGACAUUGGGCAAUGGGCGAAAGCCUGACCCAGCAACGCCGCGUGAAGGAAGAAGGUCUUCGGAUUGUAAACUUCUUUUAUGAGGGAAGAAGGACGUGACGGUACCUCAUGAAUAAGCCACGGCUAACUACGUGCCAGCAGCCGCGGUAAUACGUCGGUGGCAAGCGUUAUCCGGAUUUACUGGGUGUAAAGGGCGCGUAGGCGGGGAUGCAAGUCAGAUGUGAAAUCCAUGGGCUUAACUCAUGAACUGCAUUUGAAGCUGUAGCUCUUGAGUGCUGGAGAGGUAGGUGGAAUUCCUUGUGUAGCGGUGAAAUGCGUAGAUAUAAGGAAGAACACCAGUGGCGAAGGCGAUCUACUGGACAGUAACUGACGCUGAGGCGCGAAAGCGUGGGGAGCAAACAGGAUUAGAUACCCUGGUA